Molecule: ribosomal RNA, 258 nt
Filed under: uncultured Bacillus sp.
Lineage: Bacteria; Bacillati; Bacillota; Bacilli; Caryophanales; Bacillaceae
Description: partial 16S ribosomal RNA
Rfam family: Bacterial small subunit ribosomal RNA
Source: RNAcentral
GUGAAGGCGAGCACUCUAGACGAACUGCCGUUGACAAAACGGAGGAAGUGGGAUGACGUCAAAUCAUCAUGCCCCUUAUGUUCUGGGCUACACACGUGCUACAAUGGCCGGUACAGACGGACGCAAAGCCGCGAGGUGGAGCAAAUCCUAAAAAGCCGGUCUCAGUUCGGAUUGCAGGCUGCAAUUCGCCUGCAUGAAGUCGGAAUCGCUAGUAAUCGCAGGUCAGCAUACUGCGGUGAAUACCGGUUCCCGGGCCUU